RNAcentral lists this ribosomal RNA (459 nucleotides) under uncultured bacterium. RNAcentral's name for it is "partial 16S ribosomal RNA". It matches the Rfam family "Bacterial small subunit ribosomal RNA", at positions 338 to 795 of the family's 1533-position model. The record is from RNAcentral.
CCUACGGGAGGCAGCAGUGAGGAAUAUUGGUCAAUGGGCGGGAGCCUGAACCAGCCAAGCCGCGUGAGGGAAGAAGGUACAGCGUAUCGUAAACCUCUUUUGUCAGGGAACAAAGGCGGGGACUAGUCCCCGGAUGAGGGUACCUGAAGAAAAAGCAUCGGCUAACUCCGUGCCAGCAGCCGCGGUAAUACGGAGGAUGCGAGCGUUAUCCGGAUUUAUUGGGUUUAAAGGGUGCGUAGGCGGUAUUUUAAGUUAGUGGUAAAACGUCGGGGCUUCACCUUGAUUGGCCAUUAAAACUGGAGUACUAGAGUACAGACGAGGUAGGCGGAAUAAGUUAAGUAGCGGUGAAAUGCUUAGAUAUAACUUAGAACCCCGAUAGCGAAGGCAGCUUACCAGACUGUUACUGACGCUGAAGCACGAGAGCGUGGGUAGCGAACAGGAUUAGAUACCCCAGUAGUC